GUAGGUGAACCUGCGGAAGGAUCAUUAUUGAAUAAAUCUGAUUGGUUGUAGCUGGCUCUCCGGAGCAUGUGCACAUCAGUCACCUUUAUCUUUCCACCUGUGAACCCACUGUAGUCCUGGAUACCUCUCGCCGCAAGGCGGAUGCGUGGUUUGGCGUGCUGCUCGCAAGAGUGGUCGGCUUACCGCGAAUUUCCAGGUCUAUGAUUUACACAAACCCCAAACGUAUGUUAUAGAAUGUCAUACCUAGGCU
RNAcentral lists this unclassified non-coding RNA (250 nucleotides) under plant metagenome. RNAcentral's name for it is "partial contains small subunit ribosomal RNA, internal transcribed spacer 1, and 5.8S ribosomal RNA". The record is from RNAcentral.